Molecule: transfer RNA, 57 nt
Filed under: Capra hircus (goat)
Lineage: Eukaryota; Metazoa; Chordata; Mammalia; Artiodactyla; Bovidae
Also listed under: 1 other name
Rfam family: tRNA
About the family: Transfer RNA (tRNA) molecules are approximately 80 nucleotides in length.
Source: Rfam by way of RNAcentral
UGGCUCAGAGGGUAAAGCAUCUGCCUGUGAUGCGGAAGACUCAGGUUCAAUCCCUGG